Tetrahymena thermophila SB210 is the source of this 73-nucleotide transfer RNA. It matches the Rfam family "tRNA". From Rfam's summary of the family: Transfer RNA (tRNA) molecules are approximately 80 nucleotides in length. Their secondary structure includes four short double-helical elements and three loops (D, anti-codon, and T loops). NCBI's taxonomy places the organism in Eukaryota, Ciliophora, Oligohymenophorea, Hymenostomatida, Tetrahymenidae. The record is from Rfam.
GCUCAGGUAGCUCAAUGGUUAGAGCAACGGUCUUAUCAACCGGAGGUUGUGGGUUCGAGUCCCAUCCUGUGUA